ACCUCGUACACAUAGUAGGAUCUCCAAUCCUCUCGAAAGGUAUUUGAGUAUGCUUAAUAGAGGAUAUAGAGAAAAUUAUUUCUCAUAGAAGAUAAGAAACAUAAAGAUGAUCCUAGAACUUACAACAAGACGAUGUGAGACAUCAACUUCAAAAAAGGAUGUGAAAUACCUUUUCUGAGUAGAGAAUUUUUGAAGAUUUCUAUAUGGAAUAGCCUA
Molecule: long non-coding RNA, 216 nt
Filed under: Elaeis guineensis (African oil palm)
Lineage: Eukaryota; Viridiplantae; Streptophyta; Magnoliopsida; Arecales; Arecaceae
Description: long non-coding RNA (EGUI_LNC046504)
Source: RNAcentral